Molecule: non-coding RNA, 72 nt
Organism: Aedes aegypti (yellow fever mosquito)
Lineage: Eukaryota; Metazoa; Arthropoda; Insecta; Diptera; Culicidae
Source: Rfam
GGCUCGGUAGCUUAGUUGAUGAAGCACUCGUCUAGCAUACAACAGUCCUGGGUACGAAUCCCAACUGAGCAC